GUCUACGGCCAUGCCACUCUGAACAAGCCCGAUGUCUGAUCUCGGAAGCUAAGCAGGGUCAGGCCCGGUUAGUACGUGGAUGAGAGACCACCUAGGAAGACCAGAUGCUAUAGGCA
This 116-nucleotide ribosomal RNA is filed under the name Pteropus alecto (black flying fox). Lineage: Eukaryota; Metazoa; Chordata; Mammalia; Chiroptera; Pteropodidae. The record is from RNAcentral.